GACGAACGCUGGCGGCGUGCCUAACACAUGCAAGUCGAACGGAGUCGGCCCCGCAAGGGACUGACUUAGUGGCGAACGGGUGAGUAACGCGUGAGCAACCUGCCUUUCAGUGGGGGACAACAGUUGGAAACGACUGCUAAUACCGCAUAAUGCAUUUUGACCGCCUGAUCGAGCUGCCAAAGAUUUAUUGCUGAAAGAUGGGCUCGCGUCUGAUUAGAUAGUUGGUGAGGUAACGGCCCACCAAGUCGACGAUCAGUAGCCGGACUGAGAGGUUGAACGGCCACAUUGGGACUGAGAUACGGCCCAGACUCCUACGGGAGGCAGCAGUGGGGAAUAUUGGGCAAUGGGGGAAACCCUGACCCAGCAACGCCGCGUGAAGGAAGAAGGCUUUCGGGUUGUAAACUUCUUUUACCAGGGACGAAGAAAGUGACGGUACCUGGAGAAAAAGCCACGGCUAACUACGUG
This 465-nucleotide ribosomal RNA is filed under the name uncultured bacterium. RNAcentral describes it as "partial 16S ribosomal RNA". It matches the Rfam family "Bacterial small subunit ribosomal RNA", at positions 28 to 507 of the family's 1533-position model. The record is from RNAcentral.